GUGUCAGCCGCCGCGGUAAUACGAAGGGGGCGAGCGUUGUUCGGAUUUACUGGGCGUAAAGGGCGCGCAGGCGGCAGAUCAAGUCAGGCGUGAAAGCCCCGGGCUUAACCUGGGAGGUGCGCCUGGGACUGGUUUGCUUGAGAUCGGGAGAGGAGCGUGGAAUUCCCAGUGUAGAGGUGAAAUUCGUAGAUAUUGGGAAGAACACCGGUGGCGAAGGCGGCGCUCUGGACCGAGACUGACGCUGAGGCGCGAAAGCGUGGGGAGCAAACAGGAUUAGAUACCCCUGUAGUCC
Molecule: ribosomal RNA, 292 nt
Filed under: uncultured bacterium
Lineage: Bacteria
Description: partial 16S ribosomal RNA
Rfam family: Bacterial small subunit ribosomal RNA
Source: RNAcentral